Molecule: long non-coding RNA, 241 nt
Filed under: Zonotrichia albicollis (white-throated sparrow)
Lineage: Eukaryota; Metazoa; Chordata; Aves; Passeriformes; Passerellidae
Description: lncRNA (ENSZALG00000009396.1)
Source: RNAcentral
UCCAGCUCACUGAGUCAAGGCAUUGGUCAGAUAUGUGAGACAUCCAGAUUCAAACCCUCACUCUACCUGAAUCAGAGCAGUGAUUCAGAGCAAUCCUCCCCAAAGACACCUAAUCUAUCAGUCUUGCUGCUAUACCAAGGAAAAACAGUCUGUUCUCAUAUGCAGCAGUGAAACAUACAGAACCUUCUUCUACCACUCAUACAGAAUCUGCCAACAAGCAGCCAAAAGAAACAUCUUCCAG